This 460-nucleotide ribosomal RNA is filed under the name uncultured bacterium. Its description in RNAcentral is "partial 16S ribosomal RNA". It matches the Rfam family "Bacterial small subunit ribosomal RNA", at positions 338 to 795 of the family's 1533-position model. The record is from RNAcentral.
CCUACGGGCGGCAGCAGUGAGGAAUAUUGGUCAAUGGGCGCGAGCCUGAACCAGCCAAGUAGCGUGAAGGAUGACUGCCCUACGGGUUGUAACCUUCUUUUAUAAGGGAAUAAAAUGAGGCACGUAUACCUUUUUGUAUGUACUUUAUGAAUAAGGAUCGGCUAACUCCGUUCCAGCAGCCGCGGUAAUACGGAGGAUCCGAGCGUUAUCCGGAUUUAUUGGGUUUAAAGGGAGCGUAGAUGGGUUGUUAAGUCAGUUGUGAAAGUUUGCGGCUCAACCGUAAAAUUGCAGUUGAUACUGGCAGUCUUGAGUACAGUAGAGGUAGGCGGAAUUCGUGGUGUAGCGGUGAAAUGCUUAGAUAUCACGAAGAACUCCGAUUGCGAAGGCAGCUUACUAAACUGCCACUGACAUUGAUGCUCGAAAGUGUGGGUAUCAAACAGGAUUAGAUACCCCUGUAGUC